GAUGAACGCUAGCGGCAGGCCUAAUACAUGCAAGACGAACGGUAAGUUGAGUAGCAAUACUUAGCCAAGAGUGUCGUACGGGUGCGUAACACGUAUGCAACCUACCCUAUACAGGAGGACAGCCUAGGGAAACCUGGAUUAACCCUUCAUAGUAUUAUUGGAUGGCAUCAUUUGAUAAUUAAAACUGAGGUGGUAUAGGAUGGGCAUGCGUCUGAUUAGUUAGUUGGCGGGGUAAUGGCCCACCAAGACGAUGAUCAGUAGGGGUUCUGAGAGGAAGAUCCCCCACACUGGCACUGAGAUACGGGCCAGACUCCUACGGGAGGCAGCAGUAGGGAAUAUUGGUCAAUGGAUGCAAGUCUGAACCAGCCAUGCCGCGUGCAGGAAGAAGGCCUUCUGGGUUGUAAACUGCUUUUGCCAGGGGAUAAAAUUCCAUGCGUGGAAAACUGAAGGUACCUGGUGAAUAAGCCACGGCUAACUACGUGCCAGCAGCCGCGGUAAU
This 499-nucleotide ribosomal RNA is filed under the name uncultured bacterium. RNAcentral's name for it is "bacterial SSU rRNA". It matches the Rfam family "Bacterial small subunit ribosomal RNA", at positions 28 to 524 of the family's 1533-position model. The record is from RNAcentral.